Non-coding RNA from Picea glauca (white spruce), 120 nucleotides. NCBI's taxonomy places the organism in Eukaryota, Viridiplantae, Streptophyta, Pinopsida, Pinales, Pinaceae. The record is from Rfam.
CCUACAAUACAAUGUAGUGUUAAUGCUUCGAAUCCCAUUAGAACUCCGUAGUUAAGCACACUCAGGCUAGAGUAGUACUAGGAUGGGCGACCACCCGGGAAGUCCUACUAUUUUACAUGC